RNAcentral lists this ribosomal RNA (349 nucleotides) under uncultured bacterium. Its description in RNAcentral is "bacterial SSU rRNA". It matches the Rfam family "Bacterial small subunit ribosomal RNA", at positions 8 to 349 of the family's 1533-position model. The record is from RNAcentral.
AGAGUUUGAUCAUGGCUCAGGAUGAACGCUAGCUACAGGCUUAACACAUGCAAGUCGAGGGGAAACGACAUCGAAAGCUUGCUUUUGAUGGGCGUCGACCGGCGCACGGGUGAGUAACGCGUAUCCAACCUGCCCACCACUUGGGGAUAACCUUGCGAAAGUAAGACUAAUACCCAAUGACGUCUCUAGAAGACAUCUGAAAGAGAUUAAAGAUUUAUCGGUGAUGGAUGGGGAUGCGUCUGAUUAGCUUGUUGGCGGGGUAACGGCCGCAAGGCUACGAUCAGUAGGGGUUCUGAGAGGAAGGUCCCCCANAUUGGAACUGAGACACGGUCCAAACUCCUAGGGAGCA